GGAAAAAGAAGUGGAAAAAGAAAAAAAUGCAAACAGGCAAAUAUUAAUUCCUGUUUUAUCUUUCUUGAUUAAGACCUGGAAGGAGCGAAGGCGAUUAGAAACUAAAUACGUCGAAGGAGAAAAGGAAGAAAGAAAGGAAGAAAGAAAGAAAGAAAGGAAGGAAGGAAGGAAGAAACACACUUGCGUGCUGAUGAUAUAGUAGCUUCUUUUCGACGGGAAGACUAAGCGGUGGAAAUGACGUUCGUAUAUACAUAUGUGUAUAUAUAGAAGGAGAGAGAAAAAGUACGUAUAUAUAUAUAUAUAUACACACGUUGGCAUACACCGUCUGCUUCGUGACAUCUGCACCGACACCUGCGUUCGUAUAAUAGGACCCUCGUCGCCCUUCACCGCCUUCCGAAACAUCUUGUAAACGUAAUGAAGCCCUUAUAUAUCGUACAAACCUUGGAUGAAGUGAUAGUAGUAGUAGUAGUAGUAGUAGUAGUAGGAGUAGUAGUAGUACCCUUCUAAUAACAUCCGCAACCAAUUAUCCUGAUCGUUAGGCGUUGUAGACAUAUCAAAAUAAUGCUCGUUACACUUAUUUUCGGGAGAGUCAACUUUUUUACCUGGAGUAUACCAAUUUUUUUUGUUCUAAUUUUUUUCUUUUUUUCUACCAAAAUUAUGACGUUUACGCGUAACUUAUUUUCAAGAUGUACAUCACCCACGAUAUCCCCGUGAUUAAACGUCCUCCUUUAAGAAACUUUUCAAUAUUCUUGGGAAAAAGGAAAAAAGAAAACUGAAAGAUUCGAAUCGUUCGGUUCACUCAAAAGUUCGACAAAUACUAAACCGAUAGUUGGCGACGACGUCCUUUUUAUACUCCUGCACGUAAUAUAUCUUUCAGGCAGAUAGUUGAUGUAGUUGAGUAGAGGAACAACUCUAAUUGUUUGAUUUUAAAAAAGGUCCGUACUAAUACAAAAGAAGAAACAACCUAAGCGGGGUCAUUACAGUGACAUUUGGGACUUUAGAUAAUUUUUACUGUCAUUAUUCAGUUUAAAAUGUCCAAGUAUUUUACAAUGGUAGUUCGACAUAAAAUCAAUAAAUUUAAGAUUAUUGAUAGAUAAUAUAUUGGUAUAUUGAAAGAGAGCUCCUAAGAUUAAUGCGGUGAAAAUUGGAUAGAAUCAAACAAUGAAAAAGAUAUUUACACGAGACGCGUUGUUGUAAGAAAGAAGGAAAAAGAAAAAGUAAUUUUUCAUUUGGUAUGGCGACAACUUGCGAUAAGAAUGAGAAGAGAGAAUGUAACUUUUCUCUCAAGGGUCGAGAGAAGUAAUAAAGAUGGAUGAGGAUGGUAAAUAUUUUGUGUUAUAGAGAUAGGAAGAAAAAAGAGAAAGUUACCGUCCCGGCACGGAAAUGUAAUAAAGUUUCGAAGGAAUGUUAUCGCUUCUCAGUUUUUAUUUUCCAUUUUUUCGUAGCAAAGAUGUAUCUAUAUAUGUAUGUAUGUAUGCAUGUAUGUAUGUAUGUAUGUAUGUAUGUACGUAUGAUGUAUGGAUGUAUACAUCUAUGUAGAUUCAUUGAGCAUCCUCGGCGAAGAAGUGAUUUAUUAAUGAAAAGCAUCGGAACGAGCGGAAGGGAAGGCGUCGUACGCGCCACUGCGAUUACGAUACAAUGUUGCAACGAGAUUGGGAGUGAGAAGGCUUGCGGCCGAGUUUGUCCGCUUGGCUCGAUUAAAUAUUUUUAUCGGCUUCCUCUCGCGAUAAAGAAUGGAGGAAAAAAAAAAAAAAAAAAAAAAAAAAAAAAAGAAAAAAAAAAGAAAAAAAAAAGAAAUAGAGGAAGGGAACGUAAGCGAGUCGUAAUAAUCGAAAACAAAAGAAAAGAAAAAAAAGAAAAAACUCACUAGCGAUGAUAUUUUCGACGAGAUCCUGAUCACGACUCUCAAUGACUCUGCUUCUGCUUGGGACGAAAAUGCAGGCGCAGAGGGAAAAAAGGCGUUACAAGAGAAAAAACGUGCAACAAUCUCGAAAAAAAGGAAGAAGUAGAAGAAGACGAAGUGGGGAUAGCGCCUUCUGAGAAGUAUCCGGGCAUCCGGGACUUUUUUUCGUUGGAGUGUGUGAGACAGACAGAGAGAGAGAGAGAGAGAGAGAGAGGGGGGGGGGGGAGAGAGAGGACAGAGAAAAGAAGCAGUGGGAGGACGAUAGGAGAGCGAGAGGAAAGGAGGAAGGGUGUUUGAAAGGAGGGAGAGAGAAAAGAACGGAAAGGUCUAUGAAACUAAAGAGAAGCAUCCUUACAUCGGCGGUGAAGCUAGCGAGUUUGUGUAUGUAGAAGUAUGCCUUUUCACGUGGCAUUAUCUCGACAUCGGCUUCUUGGAAAACGGGGUCGUUUCGACGUUCCACACCAACGAAGAAGAAUCACUCGGGAAAGCUAGAUGGAAGGAAAGAAAAUACGUAGAUAUAAGAAAAUAUAUUUUUGUCCACCAUCGAUGUACGGUGAUCGAAGGAAAUGGCGUCUUUUAAAUUACUCCCUUUUCUCUCUAUUUUUUCUUCCUUUUUCUUUCCUUUUUUUUUUUUUUUUUUUUUUUUUGUAUCAUUU
Molecule: long non-coding RNA, 2559 nt
Organism: Vespa velutina
Lineage: Eukaryota; Metazoa; Arthropoda; Insecta; Hymenoptera; Vespidae
Exons: 2
Source: RefSeq, a predicted model, not a curated record